This is a long non-coding RNA of Helianthus annuus (common sunflower), 2960 nucleotides long. RefSeq lists it as uncharacterized. NCBI's taxonomy places the organism in Eukaryota, Viridiplantae, Streptophyta, Magnoliopsida, Asterales, Asteraceae. The record is from RefSeq and is a predicted model, not a curated record. The transcript has 3 exons.
GUCUUUUUGAUUAUUUAUCACUGCACGAAUCGGUUUCAAACAAUAUUGUAGGCAGGCAUUUGCUGCAAUCUUCCGUUAUUAUGUGCUGGUGGGGUUUAUUUUAGUUUGGAAUCAAAAAGGUUUUUCUUUUUCAUAUAUAAGUUGAUGAUUGAACAAUGGUUUAGUUUGUAUUAUACAUGAAUAAGCUUUUUUGUUAUUUAUGCUAGCGGAUGAUUUGAGUAUAUCUACAGGUUACUAAUUUCAGUAGUUGGACUUUGAAACUCUAGCCUUUAUCUGAUUCUUAUUGUAUCGUUGUUUAUCAUGCUUGCAACUUCAAUUCUUUAUGGUGAUAUACCCUAUGAUUGAACCCUUAAACGAAUGAUCAAUGAUCCACUUCAUAUGUUUCAAGGAUGCAGCCUCCUGUAGUAGCUACUUGUAUAGAGGAUGAAAUGUCGGAUGUCAUGCAAUAUCCAAAUCACUUUGCUAUGAGUUAUAAUGAAUUCACAACUAUGGUUGGAGCUCAGAAGGUGUUUGCAUGAUCCUGUUAGUGUUAUUUAUAAAGAAAAAAUUCGUGUUGUCAUACCUGAUAUAACUAACACUUGCCGAAAGGAAUCAAGCAAUCACGUAAGAAGAUCACCAGGUGGUUCUUCGUCAAGAGCUAAGUGCCUAUACGAAAGCCGUAUAAGAUGUGAUACUAUAUCAUUUAUUAAUGUGCAGGUUUGCUUUUCAAGUAUUAUCGACGAUUUACAAUUUCAAUGGUUAAGUUGAAACCCAUACCGAUAGAAAAUUUCUAUUUGGUAUUGUUGUCAGUUAACCUAUAUAUAAGUUAUGAGCCAAAACGAGUUUAUUCAGGUUCAUGAGGCCUAACGGGUUUCUGCGACAAAUUUUAAAUUUAUAAAGAGCUGACCAUGUAUGUACAGUGGACAAACCCGUCCUGCGACAUUAUGUUGACCAUAUUUCUGGGACAUUUAGGACAGGAUGUUACAACCAGAGAUAUAUGUAUUACAUUUAGGACAAAAUUUUGAGUUUACGAAGUAAAAUACACAACAAAUCAGUUGCGUAAAAUUGCUGCAAAAUAGUUUCCCUAGCCAGUUGGUCAAUUUAAACAACAUGGUAAGUUUUUAAAAACGAGCACCAACACUUUUUUAUUUCAUCAUUUUAAUCUUAUGCUUAAAAACUUUUUUAUUCGUGAGCUGCAUUGUUUUUAAAAUUCUACUAAAUGGGUCAAAGUAGCCAACUUUUUAGAACGUGGCAAUCGAUUCGUUUUAUUAAGUAGGUCACGCAGGUCCCUUUCAUUGUACAAGUAAAACAAUCAUAUUUUCAGAAAUGGGUCUAAUGUCAUUAAAUGGCCAGGUUUCUUACACGGGUUAGCUUGGUCACCUUUAAUAAGCUGAUGAGAUGUUGGGUCAAACGAGUCUAGCUUUAUAGAACCAGCCAAUCGAUUUGUUUUUUUAGAUGGCUCAAGCAGAUCAAUUUUAUUAAAAAGGUAAGUAAAACACUCAUCUUUUCUUAAAUGAGUCGCGUGGGUUAUUUUCAUUAAACGGACAGUUUUUUACAAGGGCCAACUGGGUCAAUUUUAAUAGGCUGAUGAGUUUUUAUAAAAGAGUAUUUUUUUUAACGAAGCUCGAACCAGUGACAGGUCAGUUUUAAGCUGGUACAUUUUUAUUAGUGGUCACUAACACUUUUGAUUUAUUCCAUCAUUUUUUGUGUCUGUGCCGCAUAGUUCUUAAGUUUUUAUUACAUGGGUCGAACGGGUCAGCUUUAUAGAAUAGGUCAACUGAUUCGCUUUUAUUAAAAGGCUCAAGUGGGCCAGUUUUAUUAAAUGGGUUGGAAGAUCAUUUUCUCUUAAACGUCGAAUGGGUUUCUAUAAACCGGGUCAACAGGGAAAGUUUUCCUACACAGGCCAACUAGAUCAGUUUCUGUAACUUGGUGGGUUUUUAUAAACGUCUAGAGUAGUUUUAAGAUUGAGGGCAUCCAAGCACCUACGCGAUUGCGUAAAAUACAAAUGAAUUAUGGUUAAUAAACAUUGAAUUAGAUAAUGGUUGCUAUUAGUUUUUUUUUUUUGUUGGGAAUUGCUAAUGCAUAGAGAAGGUGGGAUAGACUUGAUUCUGAGGUACAUGAAAUCAUUGUUGGGUGUUCGAUCUAUAUCUACUAGGCUUAAAUUUAUUUAUAUCAAAAUCAACAUACACUCAAGGAGCCUUGAGAUGAUUUAUUGUUUAUUCUUGAGAUAAUAUGGUAGUUGUUCGUUUUGCAUGAUGUUUUUUGUUUUGCAGGAAACGUCUCUUAGACACUAAAGGCAUGGCGAUAUUUAGCUUUUCGUUUUAAAUGUGUUUGUGUAGGAUGUUAUCUAAAUUAAUCAGUCCCGAUGCAACCAAUUUAUGUAUCAAAGGUGUCGCUUGCGGCUGGGAGUUACAUCAUGUAACUGAUCUAUCUUCUCAUUGGCUAUUAUUUGUUCAACCGUCUAUUUUCCAACCACUAUUGCAGCAGCCCUAUGAACAACAAUUUUAUUCACAAAUCCAAUGAUUCCUUCAGACAAUUUGUACCGGAGAAGAACAUGUGGAACAACAACUUUAAGCUUCAUUGAGGCAUAUGGUCGCAUACUGUGCAGCUUAAUAUCUCCGAUUUCAACUUGUAUUAGAAUAGAAGAUUUGCCCAAAUACAAUAGAUCAACAAUAAAUCGCAAGCUCAAAAGCUUUUACAAGCACAUAUAGCUUCAAUGAGCAACAACAGUCAAUGAGGGAGCACGACGUAAUAUUAAGGUAAAGCUUGCGUAUCAUCAGUUACAACAACUACGGCAGAAAGAAGAAACAACUUAGGUGACUUUAAUUCAUUUCACUUGGAUGUGGUGCUAAUAUGCCUUUGCAGAUGAUUUAGUUUCUUGUGUUUCUUUUCCUUUUUGCUUCCCUUGGUGUAUUGUGGCGAGCUUCUGGCUUGUAGCUUUUUAUGGGUUAAUAAAAAUGGUGUUUUGUUUGCCAAACGUA